UUUCGCCUAACAUCUUUAGGGUUCCCCUCUGGAUGGUUCCUUUGCCUUAAGAGCGAGCUGGACUUGAAACUGGAUACUUCUCUUCCACUGGAACUGCUCCUGCUGAAGAUCUUGAAACUUACACUUAUUAUCUGGCUUCUGCAGCUUACUCCACGAAAGCACUCUACGAAUACAGGUUCACUCAGGAAUUUACAUAACUUUGUUAUGACGGCAGCUAGGGUAUUUCCGCAAAGCCAGUACUUUAUGAUUGGAUUUUUCCGACCUAAACAAUAAAGUGAUUAUUUCGAUAAGUCAAACAGAGUAUAGAAACUUGUAAGGACUCAGACACUCUAAAGCCACCCAAAGACAAAGACGAAAUUCAUGAAGAACUGAAAGGAGAGGUCAGGCCAGAUGUUGUGCUAAGUUGAGUUGCGCUUAAGGGUCAGUGAGUUACUGUUGUGCUAACGAAACAGUACAGUACAGGAGCAAGAGAGAUUCUAUUAAUGUUUGCGAGAGGAGCUGACUUGUGCGUAAGGAGUUUCGAGCUUGAUUACAUUCCAAAUAUAUGUAUGGUCGGGUGAGAGAGAUUAUUGGAAUUCGAAUGGCUCUUACUUGGAAAGAAGCCCUCUUUUCUUCAGCAGUAAAGUCAGCAGCAAGCGCGGGAAGUAAAGGAAAGGAGAAGGAAAAGAAAGUAGGCAAGCAACAAUAGGUUCAGAAAGAAAGUAGAGUUCGGGUCCCCGGGUGUUGGAUCUUCAACUAUAUAAGUAUAUUCAGCUGUGAGAAAGUCUGCUGCAAGUGAUAAGGAAGCUGAAAGUGCGUUGUCUACAAGAAAGGUUAUUAGGCUCUAAGUCAGUAUAGAGAGGUUCGGCGGUAAGAGAAUCCGCAUCAGCUAUGCUUAAGUCUAAAAGAGAAAGAAGCGGGAGACAGAUCUUCCACUGACCCUGCUCUGGAUCUUUAAACGGAUCUUUCCACUAUCAAAACGGACCUUUCUGACCCGAUUGCAGCUGAAGAAGUAAUUGAGGCAUAAUUCCCUGACAUAUAGAAUGUCGGCACCACGAGUUGGUUUCAUCAUUUAGGGUAGGGGACUCCUUUGAACUAAAAGCUUCUUCCUACUUAAGCGUCUUAGCCUUCAGUGCCCAGGGAUCUACCGCGAAGGUUAGAUUCCAUUAAAAGGUAGGUAAUCGAGGCCUAGACCUAUUGCAGGUGAGCCAGCCCCUAUACCGUACAUCUAUAUCAGCACCCAUCGAAAAGAAAGAGGAAGCCGCAGUGGCACAAGUGGUAGGCUUAGAUCUGUCUUUGAAGAUGCUUAUUACCUUUUGAGUUAUGUAUCAUCGGAUUCCUACUUGGAAGAAAGAGUCUUGUAGCUGAUGAAAAACUGGAUCUUGCAGGGGGUGCGAACUCGUAGCUAACGUCGUUGGUUGUCUAAAUAUCUCCCCCCAAAAACUUAAUGAAAUGGAUUUUCGCCCUUAUACAUACUUGGAAUUCCUCAUUGACUUUCUUGCAUCUGUAACUGCUGUUGAAACACAUUUGAGCCCUGUUUACCCCUUGACUGUACACACCCUUGCGCCAAGACCUGAUCUUUCUACAAUAACUAGACUUCUUCAAGAAAACUCUUUUGAAACUAAUAAGGAUCUUUCUUGUGCUGAAGCAGAAGCGGAAGAGAACUCCGUUAGCGCAGAUCAGUUCGAAACUCCCUUAGCGCAACUAAACUAGUUCAAUUCAAAAGGGAAGGAAGCCGGUAAGAAUCUAUCUCCACCCUAUUAUAUACUAUACUAUAUUAUCUUAUUCUUCUUAUGUAUAUACUAGACUAUAUUAUCUUAUUCUUCUUAUGCCUUCCAUACGAGACUCCACUUGCUUCUUUAUAUUAUAUGGUUCGGUACUCAAUAAUUUGCUGUGCUUGUAAAGUACACUAUAUCUGAUCUUUUCUCAAGCCCACGUAGGGAGAAAGUGGAAAGAUAACCGUAUCACUUAUCCAUCGGUAAAGUUGAAGACGUAGAAAUCAUCCUGUAUAGUAUGGAAUAUGAGUGCGGAUGUCGAGAAAACAUAUAUUGUAAUAAUGGGCUGUCCCCUUGCCUAUCUAUAUCUCAUAAGAAUGCACCCACACCUAGAUCUCAUAAGAAUGCACCUAAACUAAACCUAGAAACUCCCUUAGCACAUAGGUUAUACUACAGUAGGAGUCUGCUUGGAAACCAGCAGCGUUGACUUUAUCAAUAAAGAAAGUGUGCAGUCCACUCUCCUCUUUAGUUCAAUACAAACUAGAUGGUUGAUCAAGAGCACUAGGUUAGUUAAGAGCACCACCACCCACUUCACUUGGCAAGAGGGCAGGGCAUGGAAACAGGCAAUGACUAGUGAGGCAAAGGCAAGUCGACAAGUGCUGUAGUUUUCAGUAGCCAGAGGACAGGUAGUAUAGUAGCAGAAGAGAAUAGAGCCUAAUUCGAUUCCACAUCAAAUGAGAGGAAGAAAAAAGUCCAGUAAAUUGAUACCGAAGCCAGAGAAGGAGAAGAGUAUUACUUAUAAGCAAGAGAAGGAUAAGAGUGAGUUUUGUUCGGAUAGCCUAGAUUUAGCUGUGACUCAUUGUUACUAAUGUGACUCAUUUAAGUGUUACUCAUUUCAUUGGAAUCGGGCACUAGCUUGGCAGUUGCCAGAGGUCUAGGAUAUCAUAGUAGCGGUAAGUCUAUUCGUUGCUUGUUUAGUGCUCCUGUCUGAGGGAAGUAUCAAGGAAGUCAGCUACUGUCACUACAUCUGCUUACUUGUCUAGUCGUGACUUGGCCCUAACUCAGGUGUCUGUAUUGAAUGAAACUCAUUGCUUUUGGGAGUCCUAAUUGAGUCUGUUUCAGGACUUAGCGCAUCAAAGGCAUCUAGAUAGCAGCCCUCUUCUUAACCCGGCCCGGCAUCAGAUCUUAUUCAAACUCUGGCUCUGGCUACUGAGUUUGGCUAAUGAACAUCUGUUUCAGGGCACCUCGCUCAUAUCUACCUCGCUUCCUCGCCUGCCUCCGCUCUUGAAACUAACCUAACUCUGGCAACAAAGAAAGAUUACACUCUCAAAGCAGCUUACUAAAUUGUCCCUUUCAAGCUUUGGCUAGUAGUUCCUCGUGAGUUGGUUUCCAGACCUUUACCUUAAACUAGUAGUUUCGUAGUUUCAUCUGUAUUAGUUAACUACCCGGGUAUUCACUAAAGAAUGAAGUGGGCUAUGGCCUUGCAGAAUCUCUUUUCGAAUGCUAAACUGCUGAUUCAACGUAUCAAAAGGCAAAGGCAAAACUUAAGUAUGGAGUGGGUGCUAGGGAUGGUCGAGUUGACCGAGUGUAUGAGUUGGACCGACCUGGCAGUAAGUGAUAGAAUUAGAGAUAGAAGGAUAAAGAUGAAAGAGGGUUACAGAUAUUAGGCUCAAAAUGCAUUCUAAGGGUCGUUUCCGAGUUUAGAUAAGUAAUUAGCUAUUCUCAAAGUGUCCCCUGGCUUAAACUGCGCAAAAGUCGACUACUUUCUUUGUUGACCGGGCAGUCAGAAGUGUACGAGUGGAAUCAGUUAUCUUUAAUCCUACAUAAAGAGAAGAUAUCCUUUUUUCAUCGGGAAGAUCAACUGCUGAAGUCAAGUAUCCGAACAAGCAAGAGAAUAAUUCAUUUAUUAGAGAAAUAGUGGGAAAGCCCUUACCUUAUUGGAAAACGAAAAGAUGCUAGAUGCAGAAAUAGACUCGUACAUCUCUUGCCCAUGUUACGGCUGUUCAGUUGCUGACCUUCUCUCUCUUGCCCACGCCACGUCCUUUUUCUUAGGUGUUUAAGCAAGAUUAUAGGAUUAGAAGAAUAAUCAACUAAUUCCAUUCUUAAAGCUGGAUCAGAGUAGGCUAAAGCGGAUGUUGGAUCGGGUUCAGAAGCUUGCUUAAUAAGGGAAGGAUCAGAUCCAAAGUGAGAAUUCAAGUAAGUCGGAGGGGCUUACUAAUAACUUAGGGCUUACUCAUAACCGCCGGACUUAUUCAACACUCUAAAACACUGGAGUAUAGACUGGGCCUAUUGACUACCCAGGACAGUACAGGUGCCCUUACUUACUAAGCGAGUCGACCCCAGAAGUUUGAGUGAAGUAUCCUUUCUUUAGGGGCUUAUCUAACUGGAAAUCAAUCUACAGGAUCAGAAGAAAGAGGUGGUGCGGUGUUAGAAUCAGAGGCUUAAGUUAGCAGUGCGGGUUGGUUACUUUUCUUUCUAGCAUACAGAGCGGGGGGCGAGUUAAGUAGUAGAGCUAAGUUCUUUGCUUUCAGAUAACUAGUCAUUCUCAGAGUUGCGGUAACUAUAGGCCCUAUCACUAUCAAAUGAAUUAUUCUCUUUAUAAAGGAGAAAAUGAGAUCUAUUGAGAAGGUGGUCUGGUCCUGUGAGUUGGAUGAGCCGAACUCCCCUUCCUAUUAUUCUUGGUCAAGUUACCGUUCUCCAGGUAUGCCUGCUUGGCCCCUACGAUUGGGUUUGGUGACUUCCAUUGCCCACCGAUACUGUUACUACUGAGUUGGAUUCUUUUACUACCAAUCUGUUACUACUGAGUGGGAAUUCCUUUACUUACUCCUCCGAUCGGGGACACAACCCAUUCUUUAACUACCGAGUGCAAUUCUGGAAUCCCUACUUAUGGACUACUUAGUGAAAUUCUGUAACUCCUACUUCCACUCAAGCUUGCUUCCUUGCCUGUUUAACGACUUGUACUAGACGAACUCUUGAACUCCUUUUACUAUACCUAUGGCUACUAUAUAAAUCUACCUUUCCUCUGGCUCUUGCAACUCUCACUACACUUUCUUAACCACUCCUUUGACUUUAGACCCGGGCAAGUAGACAAAUAAAAGAAGAAAACUGCUCCCCGGAAGCGCUAAACUCCAUUCUUAAAGGAAAGAAAGAGAACUACAUAAUGAAUGAAUUGGUUGCCAUUACCAAGUCCACCAAGCGUAUACUAGUAGGGAUUCCUCAAUUCUAUUUACAGAAUAGACUUAACGAGCACUUAAACAAGUAGUAGAGUAGUUUCAUCAGUAAAUCCAAUACUAUAGCUACUAAGAAAAGAAAGAAACAGCUAUGAUUUGAAACCCUUGCUGGCAACAGUGAACUUCCAGCUGUGACUCAUUUGACUUAUCGGGAUAUUUGAAUCGGUCACUAGCUUGGUCUAACUACGUGUCUUGUCUGCUUGGCUCAUCUGUGUUUCUCAAUUGUAAAAGAGUUAAGUAAACUCUAUUCUCUACCUUCUCUGACAACUAGACCCCUAUUGUCUGGCUAGGCUCAUUCUGCUGUUUCGGGACAUCUCGUCUCAAAGCCUUACUUCCCUUUCCUCACUUUUCAUCUAAAAACUAGGUUUUAUUACUGAACACAUGCGAUGGGUUAUACUACUUUAGUUGCUUGACCCGGUCUUAAACUAAUACUAAGGCAGCUAGUCGAGGAAAUGAUGGAUCUAUAGGCCAGUGAAUUCUUUAAUGCCAAACACCUUUUAUAGCUUCUGUAGUGAGUGACCUGGUAUCAGAAUGAGGCUCCCGAGCACAUAGAGUUCAAAAGGUUUAUUUAUUAUAUAUUAUAAGUACCGGAGCUGCUGUUAGUAACGAGUCAAGUUUGAUAGUACUGGCUGGCCCGGUUAAGGGAGGAUUCUCUUACUUGCAUUGCAAGGGAGUUUCACAAAUAAAUAAGAUGAGAAAUACCAGUGCUAGAUUCUUUCCCAGAUAUGGCUUCUGCAAAAGCAAGAGAAGCACUCCGUUUCAAGAACGGGAUCAUAAGCCUUAGAAUUGCCAGUUCCAGUAAGAUAAUAUGCUGGAUCAGUUGAAAACAUCAGAAUUUGCCUAAGUAGUAGAACUCGAGAAGCCAGUAACUCACCAAAACACAGGUGCUUAUGCUUCCUUACCAGCAUCUAAUCCCUCGCUGACUGCUUUCAUUGCAAUUGAUUCACACUCAAAACCUUAAUCACUUCCUAUCAUCUUAACCCUAGACUCUAUGAAAGAAUUCUGACCCUAUUGCCUUUUUCCUAGAAUAAUUGAUGUUGGCACCUAGCUUGAAACUGCUUGAGCAACUACAGUAAGGUUAGAGUAAAGUAAGCAAAUCAUAAGAGGAAGAAUGGAAUUAAUGCAACUAUACUAAUAAUGGAAUGAAUUACUAAUAAUGGAAUGAAUGCUACUACUAUAUACUUUCAAGAGGGAGGCUGCGGGUGGCAAGAAAGAGCUCGGGGGUUGGGCAAGGGCAGAUAGAGUUGGGGGCGAGUAACGUCUAGGUUCCGCAACAAGUCCUGUCUUUCUGGCUAAAGUGAGCUUACCUACAAACUCAAUACCCGGCCCGGCUAAGCAUGCCUUUAAGUAGAAGAGUAACUGGAGCUACACUCAUUCAUAUACUAACUUGUCUUAUUCAAAUACUUAUUACUUUUACUAAUAAUACAAAUACCGGUCUUCUACUCUGAUAUUACGACUAAUACUAAUAUAAGGGGAAUCCGCGGAUGCAACUCGACCGAGAAGAAGCGAAAGAGAACUAAUACUGAGUCACUCACUCGCAUUCAAAGAAAUAGAUGGAAUACAUAGAAUACUAAGAAUAGGGGCCAAGCAACAGUCAGAAUGAAACCAGUAAGGGCAAGAAUGAAAGUAUUUCUUUGCCAACAACACCCUACUUUAUCACUGCCCCUGCUCUUGUUCUUGUUGACGAACAUCAGUACUUCCUGCUUCUGCUCGAACUCAACUUUAUGAACUGACACAGAGCUUAAAUAAGGGCUGGCAAUUCUGCUGAUGAUACUGAUGAAAAUAAGGAUUCUGCGCCUUCUUUUCUUCUGCUUUAGUGUACUAGCCCGCUUGCUGCUUACUUGAGUGAGAGCAGCUUCCCCUUCCUUUGAACUAGCUUCUGCCCCUAUUGAACUAAAGAAGAGAGUUGCGGAAGAAAGAUCUUAUCUCUUUGGGCCCUACUUAUACUACCAACCAUGAUUCUUUUUCUGACCUUGGAACAGGUGCCAGAGGUAUGGUUGCCAUAGGGGCUGUUGAAUCCGUUCUCCUAUAGGCGGUAGUUGUUGGCGACUCUCUAAUUUCAUUCUGACUUGACUAUCCUCGUGCUAGUGAUCCUUCUCGCCUACCUAGUGCUCUAAGGUUACCAACCACCCCUGUGCUCUCUAUGAUAUCAGUUAUUAUGAUAUUUGAUUCCUUUAGCCCGAGGAGAUACCCGCGAGAGUUGCUUGGUCGACACAAGUGUCUUGGCUGUGAUUUAUUGGAUUUUGAUUCAUCCCAUUGGAUUCUUAAGUACACUCACUACUCCUCAGUCAACUAAUUCCAUUCUUCUCUUCCGUACUAAUUCCAUUCUUAAGUAAGUGACUUGGCGGUAUUGAAUGAAGCUCUAAACUCUCCACUCUCCACUCCUAUUUCACUCCUAACUCAGGUAUUUCAUUUCACUCCUACCUCAGGAGCCGGGUGCUCGCAGGUAGGGUUACAGAAUUGCACUGAUAGGUGAGCUAGUAGUUAAGUGAGAAUGCCACCGGUACUAACUGAGUAGCUACAGUAACAGUAUAAGAUUACAACUACUAACAUCAAGACUUAAUAGCUAACCAGUACUAACAACCAGUGCUAACCAGUACUAACAACAAGACUGAAACAAGUGGUAUCAAUACUUAAUCCCUAGUGGAUAGUUUCAGAAUUGACCUCAGUAGUAACAGUAUCGGUGUGCUUAGUAUAAGGCUUUGAAGCUGGGGAAGUGAGACUGAAACACUAACUCAAUGCCUGAAGCCUUUGUAAACAGGAUCACUAGGUACUAAGUUCAUUCUUUGCCAGUAGUUAAGAGUCGCUAGUGGAAUACCGAGUGUAUUCGUUGCGAGUGUCUUUAGAAACAUAAUCCUAUGAUCGACCUGGUAGUAGUAGCACUGGUAGUAGUAGCACUGGUAGUAGAUCCCUUAUUCUUAUUAGUAACAGUAUCGGUCGGGAAGCUGUUAGGAGUAGUCUUGAGCUCCUGCCGCUGUAGUAGUUGAUUGGCCCAGUUCUGCUCUAGUUGCAUCCUAUUUAGAAGCUGUGCCAGGAAUGGAGUAUUGAUUGGAUCCUUCUUUCUUAUAGAAUCUGCUCUCCUUUUUUCAUAAGAGAAUAUAUUCUUUAGUAAGUUGUCUUCUACUGUGUCGGUAGAGAAGCCGAGUAUUGAGCUCCUGUCGCGCAACAAGAGAAAUAAGGUGAACUCUGGACUUGACUUGACUUUAAUCUGAUAUGAUACCGCUUCUUUUGAUCCACUUUCCACUGACUUCUGAAGUGGAGCUACUGGCUAUUAAGUUAGUUAAGCAUGAAUCCAGCUAUAUGGACAGUUGAAUCCUAAGUGAAGACCUGUCUUAUUUAUCCAUUUGCUAUAAGCCAAGGAACGUAGUUAGUGUAGCGCCCUUAUUGUAAGUUGCUGUUUUACGGGUUUGAUGAAAUCGGUAACCAUCUAUCGGUAACUAUCUAUCUUACGAAUCUUUCGACUUAAUAUAAGGGCAACUAAAACAACCAUCCUAUGGCUCUGCGAACUCUUUCUCUUCUACCUAUGUAAACUGUCAACAAAUCUAUACUUAACUUACUAGAAGGCCUCUUGCAACUGGUAACAUCUCUUUGAAACUUCCCGCAGACCUCUUACUUGCGCCUGCUCCUUCAUACGAUGAAACCAGAACUUUUCACUAUACUUGCUUACUUAGAGCUAGAGCACCAACACUCCCAGACUUUAGAUCUUUAGGUUGAUACCUUCUUUCUUAUAUGAUACUAGAGUGAAGAGUUACUUGCCCCAGAGUGAAGAGUUGACUUGCCCCUGCUAGACAAAGAGACAGGCGACUCGAAAACACGUUAACUCAGGACUUGGUCAAGAACAGGAGCAGCCAAGAAGGGAAUGAAUUAUACACUACGCUCCUAAGCAACUAGGCAAUCUGCCCUGCCCUUUCACUGUAAACUCUCCCUUGAGCCAGUAAGUCGGUUCCUUAGAACUGGAACUGAGUUGGUAAUAAAGGAAGGAACCAUCAAGAAGGGAACAAUCAAUAUUGUUAGGAAUAAAUGAACUAGAACAACACUUGUCCUCUGCUUCAGCCCUAGAUAGAGAAAAUUCCUUAUCUUACGCAUCUAGUUCCUACUCCCCAGAGUCUGUUUCUUAUCUGUAAACUGCUUAUUGCUGCUCUCUCCGUUUAUGGACAGGUAGCGGAGGCUAUGGAAACUUCAAUACAGUUAGCGGAGGCAGGCUUUAGAAUGGGGUAAUGGUACAGCCAGGAUUGAAAUACCGGAUUCUAAUGAUAUAAUAAGAUUCAAGUAAACGAGGAGCCCCGAGCAGCAUCUCGAAGCGGGUUGCCUUCUGGAAAGUAUUCCUGCGCGUGGUGAUUCCGGCUUUAUCAAACUAUCAGAUGACCUCAAGAUCAAAGUGGUUGUUUUCUCUGUAGUUUUGGUGUGUCUCUGUGUUGUGCCCUUCCUAACGAGACCCUGGUUGACAUCCUAUCAAUCCCCGUGAAAAGAACUCGGGGUGUUAUAGAUGUGGGUGCUGCGCCUUAGGGGGUGCCUCGUGUUAUAGAUGUGGGUGCUGCGCCUGAGGUGGUUGACUUACUUAGUGGUCUGGUCUAGUUUACUUACUUGCUUGUUAGGUUCUCUUUGGAAUGAUAUUACUAGGAUAAAGUGCUUGUGUUAAGCAAAGAAGAAAUAGAGAAAGAGGAAAUCAAGAGGAGUUAAUUACUUAGGAGUGAAAGAGGAAAGAGAGAGUUUACUUAUUAGGAGUUACAGAGGAAAGAGAUAGUUGACUUAUUAUAAAGAGAGAGUUGCCAGCAGCUUGUUGAGAUGCGCCAGAAGUAUAGUAGCAAGAGAAGAGGAGAAAGAGUUCAAAGAACCAACCAGAGCAAUGGGUCAGAGGUGUGGGCAAGGGGCAGAGUCAAUUACUUGCUUUGAAGCUGACACUGUUUCUAUUCAUUAUGUAUUCCUCUCUUAUCAUAAUCGUAAUAGUCGCACCUAAAGGAAAGGAGCAUCCGUUUUUCGAGUUGGGCAAUCAAGCCUUGAGGAAAGCUAAGUGAGAUUUGAUUCGAGUUGAGAUAAAUAAGGGCGUAAGCCUUACUGUAAGGACAGGCUAAUAGAAAGGGAAGGUAGCUUUGAAGCCAGUAGCGGCAGGCCUAUCUAGUUAGUCAUUGGAGAAUAAGAUAUAGCAAUAGGGGACUCAAAGCAAAGGGGUAAAGACCUCUAUGGCGGAAAGUAAGGCCGAGGUACAGUAGAACAAGGUUAUAGAUCAGUAGUUAGGGAAUUGAAGUGAGUAAGGGCAGCUUUGGGAUCAGUAACUACAGACUGAAGUGCAAGAGAAGCAGACUAGUGGGCAUGUAAGGUAAUACCAGUAGUGUUGCUAAAGAACGAGAAGUACCAGUUUCAGUUUGAAACCAAGCUAGUGCAGCUUUAGGUGUAGUAAAGCAAAGCGGAGGUUUGGCGAACUCAUUCUUGUCGUAUAAGCAUGAAGUCUUUGAUUAACAUCUAAUAAGUAACCUUGCACAUGCAUAGAAGAGCCGGGCAACGUUGGACUACUCGCACUACUACUACUCGUAUUAGCAAAAAUCCACACUAUUACAAUUAUUACUUGACAGCUCAGUACUUAGCCCGGGUAUCCUGACCUUACAGCUCGAUUCCUUAUUUCUACCUUUAUUCUUAGAAAGUUAUACACAAAAACCUGUCUUUUAACCAGCUCUCCUCCAUUCUGUUACUGCUGGGUCGAGUUCUUUAUUUCCUCUUUCCCGCCUUAUCGCUAACUACUAUUAGUAUCGGCCCUAAAUCCGACUACUUCAAUUAGAACUAGAGAACGGAUACUACCCUCGGGCAACCAUACCUCUAUUUGACUAUGAACUGGAAUUGCUAGUUAGUGGGAUAAGUCUUGUCCGCACCUGUACAAGGAGAAAAGUCAAGAUAGUCAACCUGUUUGUCAGUAGUAGCUCAGUUCUACUAAGCAGUGGUAUCGGCCUCGGAAGCAUUAGUCCUAGAGUGCAAAUCCUUAGUAUUGGUCUUGUUAGCACGAGUGGAAAUCCCAGUUUCUUAAAGAGUGAAAGUCGAGGUAGCGAGAAUGAGAUCGAGGAAUAACAGACCGAGAGUAAGGGUAGUUCGAAUAGGAGUUAGGGGAGGAAGAAGAAAAGGUAAAAUACAGAGGUCAAGCAGACAAGACGACAAGACGGCAAGUGAUGUUUAGUUCGCCAAUAGUUCCAGUUUAGUAUAGAAACGCGGGUAAUCUGAAUAACUUAGCUACCGAUGCUUGAGAGUCUCCGAGAUCAGAAGCUUAGCAAGGAAAGGACUCGAAAAGGCCUGAAUGUCCCGCUCUAGCAAAUAGGUUGGAUUCUUGUGUUGUUGCUCUAGCUCUAAGUCGUGGAGAGAUAAGUGCUUCUUAUGCUUGUUCUGUAGAACUUGACUUUCGAACUGCUUCCUCACCGGAUAUAGCUUCAGAUCUAUCUAAAGUAAUUUGUAUGGGGUUCAUCCGCCUUUAAAUGUAUAUCUUAUUAAUAACAAGGAUAACAGAUCCAACUCCAUCUGCUUACUUUGGCACUGCUUCCAAUUAGGUUUGACUCAUUAGAUAGGGAUUCCAUUGAUUAACUGAAAGGAUAGGUUGGGUGUCCAAACACAGGUUCACUCUGGACUUGGCCUCUAUUAAUUACUAUAAGAACAAGAUCAUCGGCCGGGAGUUCUGGUAUUGGCUUAGAAGCGGGAGGGAAAGACAGAGCUAUCAAAAAAGCCGGGUACUCGAUAAGAAAGAAGCCUUAGAAAGUAUUAUUCCAGCUCUUGUUAAGUAUCCGACAAGUAACUACUAUACAAGCAAAUACUUCGAGUCGAGAUCAAUAGGAGAUUCCCGUAGCCGUUAAGCGAGUAUCAUCUAGAAUCGGGAUCAUCAGCAAGAGAUAGAUUCCAUUAUGUAUGAACUUACACAGAAGAAAGAAAGAGUUUGGGUAUGAACUUACACAGAAGAAAGAAAGAGGUCGGGUCGGGAAGCUGUUUAAUCAGUAGCUGAGGCUUCCAAUCUAGUAAUGGAACGGCGUAGUAACAGUAUCGGUCGGGGCAGACUAUCUUACAGGCUUUGAGGCUCGGGUAUGCUGGUUUCAUGAAGUGAGUGACUAGGCUCGGGAAGCUAUUAGUUUCUUUCUAAAGAAAAGAGAGAGGCAAGGCCGGGAGUGAAAGAGUUAAUAAAGAAAAUAGGAUUGAAGUCUGCUGCCCCAGGUCCAGUGAGAAAGUCUGGUUAUGAGAGGUCGGGUCGGCUUGGUAAGCUAUUCCAGUAUGGUUAUUGCCCCUUUUAGUAGUUGUCCUGUUCUGGUGAUUGUUUCAUUCCUUUAUUGACUAGUUUGAUUCUUUGGUCAGCGGAGCCAGCCCAGUUUCAUCAGUAUUUGUUUGUAGCGGAGAGAGAGGCUCGGGAAGCAGUUAAGGAGAUAGGCAAGGAGGAUAGAGUUUGGGGCGAGUAAUGUCUAGGCUAGUAUAGUAUCAAUCAGUCCCAGUGUUGUCUAUGGGAGAAGGGGUGAGGUUGAGGAAUACUAUAGUAAUGAGUUAACCCUAUUUGUUGAGGAAUACUAUAGUAAUGAGUUAACCCUAUUUAGUAUAUGCUUGGUAGCCUAGCUUCUUUAUUGGCUCAAGAACGGAAAGAGACUCCAUUGCCAACAAAGACAGACCGACCCAGUGGAAUCUUCCUGGGCUAUCCGAACAAGACUCAGAACCGAACCAGUGCAUCUCUAAGCCUGAAAGCAGUGCAAGCAAUCCUUCCACUAGUGCAUCUCAGCCUGUAGCAAGUAGGCCUGUUCCUGUGUUCGGGUGCUGGGGCAGGAUACACUUACUACUGACAAGGUUUAUAUCGCUACUAACAAGAAAGAAGUCUCCUAUUAGAUCAAACGAAAUAACUAACUCCUCCCAUACUGACUUGGUUUCUGCAGCUACUGAUCCAUAUCUUUGCUCUACUGCCUACUAGUCUACCUCCCCUUACUUGUAUUCCCUAUUGAAUCUGUUAGCCUGCUCUGCCUUACGCUAAUUCUACAGCAAUUGAUCUGGAACCCUGCUCCACUAGCGGAAAUUCUAUGACUACUGACUCGGAUCCUGUCACCAAUACCGAUAAGAACCAACCUCCAAAGUCGGGGAAAUAGGAAAGAAACUACUAGUGUCGGGAAUUGAGCAAGUGCACAAACACAAAUGUCAGAAUAAAGACACAGAAUCCAUUUUGGAUUUGUUAUUGCCGCUUCUGCCUUUGACGAUAACUCGGAACUACACCUUUCUCUACUAUAUACCGGGUCGAACUACUGCCUACAUGGAUGGAACCAAUAACGAUAAGACUUGAACUCAACACUAGGGGAUCCGACUACCGCUUCUCGGCAUUAAGCUUAUAAUCCUGAAGUGAACAGGUGCUUCUCAUAUUUAUACUUGGCACAGGGAAUCCAAACACAGAUAAAAGGAAUGCCCCUACGACUAACAAAGUCACAAGGUUCGAACUCAUACUAAAAAGAAUCCAACAAGAACACGGGAACUCAGCUACUACGAUGAGACCUUAACUCACAGCUAGGAAUCGGGCUAGUAAAGGUAAAACGGACACCCGAAACUGGGAAUACGAACACCAGUAACAGGAAUUGGCUAAUACCUAAUCAGACCACAGGCCAAGGAAGCACUAACUAGGAGCCCGCUCUUCUUUGCUUUGAUUUCAUCUGACUUUACAACCUACGAGCUUGUCUUUACCUAACUUUCUUAUGUAUUGAUAGCUAGUGGCCCGCCUAUCCUUUAGUUAAGUAUGCUUUUCCGGGUUGGGGUUCAUAGGCACCAAUGUUCAAUUCUAUACGACUCUUGUGCAUGGGAUCAUUCUUCUUUUUAUAUAACUUAAUUGGUGUUGUUCGAGAUCUACUUCACAGGUGGGGCAGAUAAAUACCCUUACGAGCUCACUGCCUCAGUCAGCUAGCACAGGGCACAGGCCAAAAUAGAGAUGAGAUGGCAACUCUACCUGGACACUUUUUCCUCUGUAUUCUGGUAGAAAAUAGCCUGUUUCUAUGAUUGAUAUACCAAUAGGAUAUACUAAUUAGAAUAGAGGGCCCCCGACUAUAUAUAUAUGUUGACUAUGUAUUUGUUUCUGCACUGAGAAAUGGGUUUGGUAAAGAAGUCGUGCAAUGUCAGUAAGUCCGGUUUCGAUCUGAUCUCGUUUUCCUAUCUGUUAGUUUCAUCCUGUCUAUACGUUUAGUUAAGUACUGACUUAUCUCAUUCUUGGACUACAAGCUUUGGUUCUUUAGUGACUCGGCAGCCUGUUUGUCAGUAGCUCUAGUCCUGUUAGCGGUGUUUUCAUUCUCUUCUUCUUUAUGCUUUCUCUUAUUACCUACGUGGGAAUGGGAGACUCGUAGGCAGGCGGAUCAGAUUUCACCAAGGGGAUAGUUGGCCUGUUUGCCAUUAGUCGCGUUCUGCUAUUGGUAUAGUGGUAGUUGGCUUCUCCCCGUACUGUACUUAGUUCAAUCAUUCUAUUCAUGUACUAAAUUCGAUUACUGUUGAGUUUGAUUCCAACAACGCUUACUUUCCUUCUAGCGAUAAGGCUUUAAAGAAACUACUAUACUAUAAGAACUCAACAAGGGUCGAUGUAAUUGAGCUGAUACUUGUAAGACUUAAGCGGAAUCAUAGGAUACUAAGGAUAGUAAUGAGAAUGGACACUUUUAAGGCUAAGUGGCCUGGAUAAGGAAAGGAUGAAGAGUCACCCCACUUAACAAGAAUAGGCAUAAGGAAGGCAAGGCUCCACAACUCAAUACAUUUGAAUGAAACAAAGAAGUAGGAUUCGCACUAAGAAGUAGGAGCUCAACUCAUAAGUAUAGAAGAAUGCAAAUGUAAACAAGGAAUACAGAAACAAAGAAUACAGAAGGAAACAACAAGACAGAAGGAGACAACAAGUAGGAAUUGCGAGUAUUUGUUUGAAACUCAGAAGGUAGUAGUUAGUAUAAUAAGUAUGAGUAUAAGUAGUUAGUAUAACAAGUAUAAGUAGAAGUAUAUCAGUAGUGAGUAUUAGCAUCAGUAGUCAGUAUCAGAAUCAAACAGGACCAACAAGACUACCACCAACAAUGCGAGUACAACUCAUCAAUUGAAGAAUUCGAAAAAAGCGGCGCAAACACCAGAAUGAAAAGCACCCUAAGGAAUGAACCCAGAAACUUGGAAUUAAACCACCGAUCUCACAUCUCGCAACAAAGUGUAGUCUCUUCCUUUCCUAUAGUGAAUUUAAGCCUUGCUUUUUGGUCAGUUAAUUCAUUAUAAGAGGAUCAAGUAUUAAAGGGUAGUAGGCUUUCAGCGCCUUAUUCGUAGUUGGAUCCUUACCUUACUAGUGAAAGUGUUCGUAAGCACUAGUUCCGAGCUAAGGUAUUAUUGUUAGUAGGCGCAGGCUAUUAGGCACAUAAGUCAGAAUCACAGAGGGGAAAUUCAGGCUUGGCUACUGGAUUUAGCUAUAGGUAUAAUAGAAGGAAGCGGGUAAGUCACCUGUGCUCUUCACCAACCCAGUGACCCUUGAAACUAUAGUAUACGCUUGUGAGUUUGUAGUAGUUGCUUGGCCCUAUUGGCUCUCUUUGAAUAAGAGUAUAGAGAGUCAUAAUUACAGAAAGAAGUAAGAAGCAGUGCGAGUAGUGAUGGAAUUCCAGUUUGCAGUUAAAGCAUGCAAGUCAAAGGAUUCUAAGCCCUCUAGUGGGUCAAGUGAGAAUUGCAGACAGGAAUGGCAGGCUAUAAGUAGUCGCAAGGUGGUUCGGUGAGCUAACUUCUUCUGUAGGGGUGUAAGUAAUCGGAUUUGGUAUAGAAGUCACAAGUCUAAUAACUAGUAUAGUAAGCAUGAUAACCAAGGAAAGAAGGAAGGUUCGAGUUCACGCAGUUAAAGAAUACAGGUCAGUAGGUAAAGUUUGAAAGCCAUUUCCAAAAGCAAGGCCCGAGGGCUGUUGUACAAGAGUCAAAGAUGUGCGAGGUGGACUACUCAUGGGCAGUAAAGUGAAAGGACGAGACAAGCCCUCCUGCUGCAGACUCAAGGCAAAGAGCAGUAGAAUGCAAGUUCAGGUCAUACUUCUUUCUACACGGGGAGUAACGGGCUAAGAAACAGUAAUGCCAGUUUGUUACCGGGCUAACUCUCCUCCGUUGGUGCGCUUACUCAUACUUACUUCUACAACUAGUUUGAUGCAGCUACUAAUACCACUGAGUUAACUACUUUUGCUUUUCUGAGUUUCGUCUCCUCUUCUUGUUCUUGUAGUCAGUAGCACCAGUCUUAUCUGCAGUAGCGGAAUUCCCCUAUUUGUACACACAGGUUCGAUCCUUGUUGUCAGUGUUUGGCUUACCGGUUUCUUGUAUCAAUCUAAUAAAUAGUAGCUCCAUUCUGAUGCUCACUACUGUUAUCCUGCACUCGCAGGCUUCAUGAUGGAAAGUACUAGUUAUAGACUAAAAGCAAGGAAGGUAAGUACCACUGAGUUGGAUCCUUUCCCUUAGUAAUUGAUUUCUUUCUAUUAAGUAUUAAGACCGGUUCAGUAACUACAAUCCGAAUCAGUAGCGGGAGUUCUGAUAGCAUAGCCUUGGGAUCAGUAGCUCUUUUCUUUCCCUAUGCGAAGACAGUCGCAGCCUUAUUAGCAGCAAUGAAAGCCUCGGCAACUACACUAGUUUUCUGGAAUAUUGUAUGGAUUCUUUGACUUAUGGCAGUGAUUCUUCCUUUCCAGUUAGUAUAUUGUAUUGGUAGUCAAACCCGUGUGUUACGCGCUAAGUAACUACUAGACGCCAAGGAACGGAUAGACAAGCAACGGGUAAGAGGAGAGUUAUACCGAAUUCAGUUAGCAGAGAUGAGCAAUAAUAGUAUUUGUUGACUUCAUUGACCUGGGCCACAAGAAAGACACCCUCCGCUUUUUGGUACUUUAUUGCUUAACGGGGACCUAGCUUUAUACCAAUGGUACCGAUCUUGUGACAUAGUUUUUGGCACUGAAGCAUAGUUUUUGGCACUGUAGCUAGUGUUUCUAUACCUAGGAACCGAUCUUUCGACACAGGUUUUUGGCACUCUGAUAAAGCCCUUGUUAACUCUUAACCCCCUUCCCUUCCUGUUAGCGCAGAGGAAAACAAAGAAUUCACCCAGUAGGCAAAGAAUCAAACUCCUAACAGCUAUACAGAGAGAUGGACAGAGUCAAGAACAGUACUGGCACCGAGAAAACCCUACUUAUGCUUAAACACAAGCAUUCGAACCCGGACAGCUAUUGAUUUGACUCCUUAGCAACUAUAGCAACUAGGCAUAACUCAUUUGACUCCUUAGCAACUAUAGCAACUAGGCAUAACUCAGUAGCAAUUAGUAUAUGACUCCGAUCUUCUACUAGGAGCUAGGAGCUACAGCACCUAUUUUUGAUGCAGAUAUAUAAGUGGCACAGGAACUGGUUCUUCUCUGGCUCUCUUUCUAGACAAAAAGCACUCUAAGGUCAUUUCCUGAGGCAACAUAGGUCAUUUCCCAUAAAACGAAAUCACCAAGUAACUAGGCAAGGAACUACUAAUCUAUAUAAAGAGAAAGAGCAAAGGAUUUACAAGUCUUAAUGGGAGAAGUAGUGUUGACUGACAAAAAGACAUCAGCGAAGCAUACUUUCCUGCGCCGUUCACUUGAAAGGGACCCCGCUGACCGGUGUUUCCUGUUGGUACUGGUUUAAGCCACCAAGGCACUCGGGCCAAGGGCAAAGCAACGGCGCAAGCCGCUGCGCGGCAGCAACAGAAUAGAUAUGUUAUAGCCAGUUAUUAACAAGUCCUGUGUUCGCGUUCCGCGGCAGUUGUUUGGCAAUAAGAAACAACAAAUAAAUAUACUAUAUGUUGUUAUUACUCCAGAUGUGUUCGGUGACGCGGUAGCGAGUUAGAGACUCACUGGUUGGAUUCUUAGUUGCAUUCUGUAACCCUACCCUAGCUGCUUGGCCUGUAACUCCUUCCUUUUAGUGCAAUUCUGAUCUUAGUACUGGCUAGACUAUAUAUACCUCGGAGAAUAGAUACCCUUACUACUGGAUACCCUUACUACUAGCCUACUUCAACUCAAGCCUGCUCGUACUUAAUUAUUACUUUAUAGGUGACUUCUGCCUUUCAAACAUCAACUCUUCAACAGCAUUCAAACUCUUCAACUGCAUUCUGAGAUUAUUACUUGCUUCACUCGACUCUGGCUAAUGAGUCAGUUUCUUCCGAUCUAGUACUUGAUUCUACCCGGGUCUAUGCGGAUUCUUUAACUCCGACUUUCCUACCUCUACUGUUACUACUUAGGUCAAUUCUGAGUCCCCGAACGCAGGACUUGGCCAUACUAAAUGAAUUCUGAUCUUAUUAAGGAAAACAGAUUCCACUAGGGAUGAAACUGGAAGUCAAACAUCCGACCCCUUAACUAGACACAUGGCCAGGACCCAUACGCGGCACCCACACCUAUUUCCUCAGGCGAGGCACCCCUAGUCGACUAGGCACCCCUACUUUACUAGACGCAAAUAGUUGACUUUUGAACUUCAUCUGAUCUUGUUCUUGUGUGAGUGGAAUACCGAUCCAGUUCUUGUCUAGUCGUGACUUGCCUCGUUGCUUGGCCCUUCCCACGCAUACCUUCUCUAGCUCCGAGUUCGGGGACAAGCUCCUAAAUUUCCUGCUCCUAUUGAUUUUAUACCUUAGUACUUAUAGCUUCCAUUGAUAUGACCAUAAAUAUAGUAUGAGAGUACUAGAGCAAGAGCCACCCUUCGUCCGGAGUUGCUUGGUGACCCUUCAACUAGUAUACGAGUAGUUAGGUAUCCUGGUUUACCCGCCAAGUCACUUGUUAUGCGGCAGGAGCGGGGCCUUCCUAGAUGGGAAGGAAUGUUUUGAACUGCUCCCCGGUUUAUCAUCUUUGUUUCUCAAUUGUAAAAGAGUUAAGGCAACUGCUCUUCUCCGGUCUGAAACUCAAGGGUCUUACUACUAAGAAGAAUAAGGGAUACUGAGUUGGCGUGAGAGGGUCUGCUUGCUUGUUUGUCAAACCCUUCUUUCAAGUCCUUUGUUCGCCUAACAAGAAUUCCUCUCCUGCCGUAGGUUCUACCACUUAUUAACUCUUAUUCGAACCCCCCGGUCCGGUGUUAUGGGCAUAUGAUACUCCCUCUCCAGCCUCUUAUUCUUUGCUUGGUGUUACUUACUUAUUUAGUUUACUUAGGUUAAUUACUUAUAUCUUAUAUUGAUAAUUGGAUAUAGCGCCCCUAUGUAGUUAGAAGAAAACAAAGGGAUAACAAGAAGGCAAACAAGAGUAGAGCUGCUGAUAACAAGGCUGAACCUACUACUUGACAAGGAUCGGAGUGUAUGGGAAAGAGUCGGGGAUAUGGGCACUUACUCUAAUACUUUAACUCAGAGCGGGGAACUCCACUAGUGUACUAACGACUUCAACUCAAAACAAAGGUGCUGAAAGCCUACCACUUUAGAUCUAGAACACGGGGAAUCCAACCACUGCUUAACAAAACAGGAACCAGUGCUAGCGGGAACUCAACUAGGGGCUUUCAAAUCAAGGGAAGCGGUAAAAGAAAUGAACUAGCAACAACAAGGAUCGAACUACUAGAAUACAAAUACAAAGAGCAGAACUCACCCAGCAACUACGAGCUAUGAGCCUGACAUCCCCACACCACAACUAUGACAAUGCCGUAGCUACAUUCUCGAGCUACUUACUUGGAUUCUAUAGUUGUAACUUCAAUGUCUAUGUUCCAGUGUCCACUCUUUUAUCUAAGCCCUACGCCCUGGGCACACCUAAUCCGUAUUUGACCUUUAUAUAUAUCAGUCCGCCUUCCCCAGCGACCAUUCAGACUAUACUAUAUCUCUCAUUCUAACAAUUAUGCCUUUGACUCUCUAACACUGGACUACAGAUCUGACUUUCUCUUCUUCGAUUCUAGGACUACAGAUCCAGAUCAUAUAGUGAUAUUGCCUAUGAGCCUACUCUCCUUUAGUGAAGUCUGAUAUGAUCCCUACACUAAUAAGAAAGGAGCUAGUGCCUAUAAUAAUCAAUACAAGAAUCAGUAUAUGUAUUAGAAGUAUCCAAUCUGAACUAGUGCUAGCAAGACUGGAGCUAUGAACAGGGGAUUCCACUGGUACUGUUAAGAGUGCCCGCCAAGCGACUACUAAACAAGAUCGUACCUAGUCAUACAUGCAAAUACGGAGCUUUCGAGCGCAUAAGCAUAAUCCUUUCCACUAGACGACUUUCUACCUUUGCUUUAUAAGAGCUGAUCCUAAAACUAGGAGCUGAUCUGGAAACUAGAACUUUACUUUCCAUUGAAGCUUCCUUUCUUUCGCCAACAACUGGAUCGGAUACUUAUUCACUUCUUGCAACACCUGGUGAGGGUGCGAGUUCCUUUGCUUUAAUAGCUGUUAUAACUCCUGACGCUCGACGAAAGCAGAAACAUAAACUCCACUUGCAUUUCCUAACUCUCCAAGAACAGAACUACAAAGAGCAUAGGCGGGACUAGAAGUGGAACAAGGCUAAGGGUCACUCGCUACCCAUCUUUUUGGUUACCCCUUUUCUCUUUCUAUCUAAUGUAAGUGAAACAAUAACUUCGAUUCUACUUUGACCUUAUGAAACUAUCCUUUACUAACUACUUGCACCCUCCACUCCACUACUCUUUUUUCUUUAUGAGGCGGAUCUUCCCACCAUCUCUUUCUGAGCCCGAAAUAAAGGACUUGCUCCGGGCCUUGUACUAAUGCUUGACUCCCCCAAACAGGAAUUGAUAAGUCAAAAGAGAACAAAGAAUUCCAUUCGAAAAUAAAGUGUAGCUCCAGUAUAAAGUAAGUUGCUAAGAAGGUAUGUAUAGUUAACCUGUACCGUUGACCCUUACGCGAACUCGCUAAGCUGGCAUGAACUCGCUAAGGCUUAGUGAUUAAACGAAGCAAUGCUCUUCUGGUUUGACUUAAUUAUGGAGUAGGGGGCAUCUAGAGAAAAUGAAAUAAGAGCAAGCACAGGAAUCAAAAGCAUAAUUAUGGUAGGUCGCUUGGGUGCCUACAGAAGAAUUAUGGUAGGUCGCUUGGGUGCCGAUAUUCAAUGGGUUAAGGAAAGCAUAGAACAACAGGACAAAAGCAGUGUUUUGUUACUUAAUGACAUUGUUUUGUUAUUUUCUUACAUUAGUUGGUUGUGCACAUCAUAUUCUAUCUAUUAUACCUGGCUCAAGGCCGUGCCUUUAAAGUCACUGAGUUAGUGCGUGCGUUAGGCUUAUUGUGUUUGGGUGCAAUAGGGGUUUCGCACCUUACCUUCUGGAUUCCAUUCCUUAGUUUAUGGUACAGGGGUGCUAACGUGUUAGGUGAGUUUUCUUACUUUCCUUAAUUCUGGGUGCCCUUCUCAUACAUAUGUACUAGUUAAUUCGCGCUAUAUUGGUUAGUGUUAGUUAGUUAGUUUCCGUGAGGGUUGCCUCCCUUCUCCUCUUAAAGGUUUCGAGUCUCGCAGCUAAGUUCGUUUUUAAGGAAGCAGUCAUCGGGGAAGUUCAUCUAUUCAUAGAAUCUUUCAGUAAUAUCAUUUUCUUAUGUGCACUCAUAUGAUAUGAUUUUAUGACUUUAUGGAACACUUGAACACUCGCCUUCUAACGCACUUGUUUCUUGCUAAAUAAGCUAAUGCUUAAGUCAGGGCUUUCUUUCAUGCUCAAGAAGUCUAAAGUAUAAAGUCACUACGAAAGUAGCAAGUCCUUUUUAUUGUGUCAGAAAGUAGCAAGUCCUUUUUAUUGUGUCCAUGCAGAGAAGUUUCCUUUUUUUGAUCCAUUAUUACCACAGAAGGAAGAAGUGUCGCUUCGAUAAACAUUGGUAUUGACUGAUAUAUCUCGGACCACGAAGACCCCAGUCGUGCGUGCUUCUGGUUUCCAUUUAUCCAUUCAAUAUUACUAUAGAGAAGGCAACUACUCGUGCCAAUCAAAAGAUAGUAAACAAAUAGCGCAUAUGCAUUGAGAUUGGAAUUAUUGAGUCAAAUGAUGCCUUGCCAAUCGGCGAAAGAAAGAUAGCAAGCACGGUCGGGUUCCUAUGCUCCAAAUGAGUUUGUGAGUUUAGCAUCUAUUCUGCUUCUGGAACUUGCUAAAUAAGCUGUAUAGGGUCUUUCACUCGCUUAAUAAGCUUAAUAGGGUUCUUUUUCCUAGCUGAGUUCAACAAGUAAUAAGUCAGUUUAGAUUGAUGUUACCUAAUUCUGGAAUCAGUGACCCAUAUUCCAUUCAAUUCACGGGAAUAAGUAAAGUUUACUGAAGGAAAUCCUUAUUGCCUGUUGAGUUGAGUUCGCCACUUAUGGUUAAUGCUCGCUGGCUGGCAGGGUUAAGGUAAGAAGAGAGUACUGUACUGGCCGGGUAGAAUCCCAAGUCUGGUUUCGGGUGCUGAAAGCCUCCUAACUACCAACCUACCAGCAAAUAGACGACUCUAGCUAUCCAACCAUAGAUAGACGACUCUUGCUAGAAAACGAUAUAUAGUAUGAAAGAAAAGCUAGUAACAACUUCUAAAAGAAAGGAAGGCGUCAGGCUCGCUCUAUAAUGAAUAAGUGGGAACGAGCGUAAUACCAGUAGCGAGAGGUUUAGAGGAAGGCGUCAGGCUCGACUGUGGAACUCGUCUUAAUGUGUUUAUUCCUUAACUCCUAAAUACAAACUAUGAGGUAAGAUCUAUUAACUAAUAGAAAGUUACAAGUCACAGAAAGAAGGAAGACUGAGAUAGAAUAAACCUAGAGAUCCGCUCAGAACUACUAGCUUAUGAGAUCCCAGCAAACAAAGUAAGGCCUGCCCCAUCACAAAGAAGGCAGAACUAGGAACUAUGGAUUAGGGAUUUGAUCAACUAGCAACUCAUUCACUCAAGAAAAACAAGCAAGAGAAAUAGCAGAUUCAAGCAAAAGACAGAAGAAAUCACCCUACAGAUAAACAAAACACGCAAGAUUGAACUCCACUCAAAACCUAAAAGAAAACAGCAUUAGAAAAAGCCCACUCAAAGAAAGAAAUAAAACAGAGCGAACAAGACACACCGGAAAGAUAGAAUCGAGUCAAAGCUUUUCCACCGGAAGACAAAGGCGACAGACAGACUUACUGAUCCAAAGGGAUCGAGAGCAAAGAAAGAAAAGCUGACUGAAAGACAUUUGACUGAGAACUAAUUGGAAAGAGUACCUUCUAGCAUAUUGACUUUCUUGGAGAAUCUUAUGAAGCAGGGGCCCGUCGUACUUCCCUGGGCGACGAAGCUGCGAUAGGUGUGCGAAAUGAGUGAGACUUGGGAUGGUAGCCCCUUAAAUAGGAAAGAAAGCCGGGAUAAGCUUAACCUCACACUAGCAAACAACAGCAUAGCAUUGAAAACGAUGAUAUGGCUUACAUACAAAGUUCCCCCAAUCUACUUCUCUUCUUAUGGUUUUGCUAUGAGUUACAGCUGCUCAAUAUUCGUUAAUGUGGACUGCGGAAGUAAAGUAGUCAACUCUUCCUUCUUUGUUAUGAAUAGAAUCUCUUUCGAAGCGCAUUUCUUAAUAGAAUCCGCAUUGAUCUGUCCUUUCUUUCAUACUCGCUGGCCUUGGUCGACCUUACCUUCCGUAUUUCCAGAGAGUUAACAAAAGGCUUAUCCCCAAUGAGGAAAGGCAUCCAGUGGGCCGAGUCAGACAAGUAAAGUCAACAUCUGGCUUGAGAAUUCCAAUAGUGCAGUAUAUAUAAGCGCAAUUUCAAUGAAAUUCCAGUAAUAUAAAUAUGGAAUAAUAAAAACACGUAUUACUCUCAACAAGCAAGGGCGCACUAAAAUAGUACAUAUUCUAUGGGCCGUGGGCACCUCAACAAUAUAAUGAAAGAAGCACCAAACUCUCCUAAUCCAAUUCCGUAGCCCCGCUUGUUUAGUUGCUUGUUGAACCCUCAUUGCCUUAACCGACACUGAGCUUCAAGUCUUAUAUUAUUCCUAUUAACCCAGCUUUCUUUCCUGCUUACAAUAGCCUUCGUUUUUGGCUUAUGGUGGCUUAUUCUCUCAGUAAGUAGCAUUUCUUUCAACGUUACAAACAACAGUUCCGACGUUUCUAUCUAUGCUCAACCACUCGCACCCAGAUGAAUGUAAGCACCCGCUCAAACAAGCAAGAAGCAAGAGCCAUAAUUCCACUAAGUCAACUAAGUACUAUUGAGUCUCGCGUUCGGAUGCCCAUAUUAUUCUAUAUUGAAGUAAGCAAUGCAGUGAGUUUACGUUCUUCUCCGUUUAUGAGGUGCAUAUUCUUUAUAGAGAGCUAGCAGUAAUCCGUUUGAUUAAUCAAUUAUAUUAGAGUAGCAUUGAGUAAGCAUUCCAUUCUUUUCUUCAAUUCCACAAGUGCUAGGCCCCGGUAAGAAAGCAAUGCCAUGCUGUUUACUUUAUUCUAUCAUAUGCUCUAUCAAAUGCAAGAUAUAUAUGAUUGAUUUCAUUCCUGGCGAACUCUUAAGCGUUGCGGAUGAGCAACCCUUCAUAUAAAGGUCGAAAAGCCCGGGCUAUUUGAGUCUGUUUUUUUGCUAUUCUUUUGACUUGACUAUUCUGACAGGUGGCACUUCUGAACUUUGAAAUCGUUGACCGAGUAGAUAAUAGAAAGCCUAUAUGCGGUUAACUAUACAAAUCAUAGGCAUUUCUUUUGAGAUAGCUUUGAACCGGUGUCUUUUUAAGAACGCUUCGAAAGGGACUGUCCUUGGAGCACGGAUUCGUCCUCGCAUCCCUUAAUGUUACUCUUCAUCUAAUCUCCUCUUUCCCAUUUCGACCUCGAGACGGCUUGAAAAGCCUAAGCUGCUGCGUUGCUAGUUGAACACAGACUUCAGCUUUGAAUAAGCAUUCCUUUGAACGCAAUGAUAAGAUCUAGGGUAGAAAGUGGCUCCACAGUAGCUCAAAGAAAGUCUCGUCCCGACCUGGGGUUGGCUUGAGAAAGAGAGUAUCGCCGGUUGUUAACAAAGCAGCAUGCAAGGAAGCUAAGAUUCACCGGCUUGGUGGGAAUAAGGAAUAUGCAUUUUGGGGUGGGUCCACCAAACUAGCUUAUCUUCGAGUGCCCCUGCUACGAAAGAAUUGGAAGGCUCAAUUCCAAGGUUAGGUUUUGAACCACGAGUACCAGUAUCCGUCCCUGCUUGCUGUCGCAGGUGAUGAUGUAGUGGUAGGGUUAGUGAAUUCCAUUUCCUUCCAACCUGUCAGUGUGAAAUCAAGCUUCAGAGUCAAACGAAAUCUCUGUCAUAUGAAUCUUAUCUUAUGCUUGCCCGAGCGAGGGGAUAGUCACUUCUUAGUACUUGUGGUAGGACCGCCUCUAAUUAUACACGCUUCUUUUUACCUGUCUGCAGGUCGUAAACGCUAUAAAUGCAUUGAGUUUUCUCCUUGCCAUAUACUGUAUUCUUCUCUAGGUUUGAUUGUCUCUCUCUUUUACAUGAUAUAUUUGGAACCGGACUUAGACUUCUAGCCCGAAGAAAACGAACUCCAUUCAUUAAUGAAAGCAAGGUUACGAAGUAAGGCAGGAAAGCUGGUUAAGCAAUGUGAGAUAUAUGUCUGCCAACAAUUGUGCACUCUGAACAGGGCCUAACAUAGGGCUAGGCCGGACUCUUCCUGUGGAGCCACCGUUGCAGUAUCAAUUAGCUGUCCCUACUCUUCUCUUCCCAACCACCGAAUUUCCUGAUUUCACUGUUCACGGAGUUACCGGAAUGAUGGGAGUGCGCUUCGCUUAUUCCAUCUUUUUAUUGACUAGGAGGUAAGGGAGAUCCAUCGACUCAUGUACUAGAGAGGAAAGGUCAAAUCAGGGACGGGUUGUUCCACAGAGGGAACCUUUUCUAUUGGGUGUACCACUGAUCUCGUUCUAUAUUAUAUAGUUGAACCUCCUCGCGAGCCUAGAAAGAAUCAAGUGCAUUUUCCAGAGAUACGCUUAGAGCACUGAAAGCUAUUUACAUCAAAUCCUAAGUAACAUGCUCCGACUUGCCUAAGCCUUGGGAGUUCUACUUUUCUUAGUCAAAGGAGGGUUUAGAAGAGUGGGGCAAGGGUCACUAAUACAACUACAACGAGGGAAUCUGGGGUUGGCAAAAGAAAGGAAAGGGUCACUAUAGCGCUAUCACCAGCUCCAAGGCUUACAACUACAAGAGUGGAUUGAGCACGCUUACUAUAACUAUUCUACUACAAGAGUGGAUUGAGCACGCUUACUAUAACUAUUCUAUCCCCACCUUAUAUUCUAUAAUUCUUUACAAGAUCCCCCUUGGGACUUUAACCAAAUAGAACUUACUUAUUCCUACUCAUACAGACAGCGCCGGAGAAUUCUUUCAAAGAGCUCUAGCAUUAAAACAAGGGUCUUAUAUACUUGCUCCAGAACCAGAGAAUGAAAUAGAAUAUCCCCUUCACUGGUUCUCCUACAACACGAGGAUAGCUGGUAGGGUGAAAGGAAAGGGUACGGAAUAACCUUACUAGCUCUAGAUGGAAAAACACUAGAGCACCAGAACGAGGGUUUAAGGGUUCGUCAUCACUUAGCUUACUUGCAGGCAGGGUACAAAACACAAGAUGGAUACAAAGUCGGCUUACUGGGUACGAGGCUUACUCUAUUUAUCCCAGGGUCGAAUGAAGGAGGUUUCUCCGCCCAACAUAGAGGGAUGAACUCAAGGAAAUAAGUAUUCCAUCCUACAGAGCCAAUAUAAGAAGGGGAAGCGCUCUCUUGGUCAACCGCGGAUUGUGGACAACUAGGACAUCUAAAGCACUGAUAGCAAGCAUUCCUCCAGAGUUCUCUCCUCUAAGAAAUUGAUUCAAAGAGUUAGAUCCGCCUGCAAGCAGGUUUCUUUGCAGAUGUCGAUUUCCUGAUGUCCGGGAACCCAGCAUAAUGGGAGUCCUAAUAUCUCAAGUAGAUCGGAUCGCCGUUAUGUGAUCAUUUAGUCUCAGGUACCCGGAAUAUACCUCAUGACUUUGAAGGCUGCUUUCCACUGCUCCAUGCCUGGAUGACUUUGGUAUCUACCUAGUAAACCCACAGCAUAAACAAUGUGCGGACGUGUACACGUCUGGGCGUACAUAAAGCUUCCAACUGCAUAUGGAAUUCCCUUUCUCUUUCUAUAUAUCAUAUCGCUUCUCGGGCACUGCGAAGCCCUGAGCCUGUCUCCCUUCUGUACGGGUGCCAUACUUUGUUUGCAGUAUACCAGACCUCUAUAAUACUUUUUGGAUUGAGGCCUUCUGAGCGGAGAUAGUCCCGAGGAUACCUCUUUCCAUUUCUUUGUGAAUCUUCAAUGACAUAUGAUGCUCACCCAUAUCCUUCAUCUCGAAGUUCCUUAUGAGGCGUGCAACAGCCCCUGAUCACCGCUAGCAAGCAGUAUGUCGUUAACAUAUAGGACUAUAGAAGGAGAAACUCGCUCCCAUUGACCUUUCUUAGGUAUAUACACAGUUCUUUUUCCUUUGGUCAUUCUCACCUCAUUGAAUUGGAGAUACCACUGGCGGGAAGACUCGUCUGUAUUUCGACUUCCUUAACCAGCAUACUAACGCUGCCCUCCUGCGAGAAGCCAAAGGGUUGGUUGGUCUAUGUACACUUCUUCCAGUAUAUCCCCAUUGAGGAAAGCGGUCUUCACAUCCAUCUGGUGAAGUCGAGCCACCAACUGUAUGAUUAUCCUGAGUUAGUCCGUCCUUCUUAGAAACCGGAGAUAAGUUCCUCUCUUCGUAUUCUAUGUAGUCGUAGUCGAUGUCCUCUUUCAGAGUGAACCCCAUUCAUUAGGGAAGCCUUGCCUUGUAUCUCUCAAUCUUGCCUGAAGGAGCCAAGCCCCCUCCUGUCGAAAUGGUUUAAAUAGCGUAUGUGAACAGUCAAAACACCCUCUCUCUCAUCACAGCACGUCGAAAGAGGCGCAUCAGAAAGAGGAAAGGGCCAAGCAACAUAGUAAGACCAAGCCACUACUACAAAAACAUAGAAAGGAGCCAAGCAACACACCCGAUACUGAGUGAGGCUUCUGAUCCAGCCUUUCAUCCUUCCUUUUCUCAGGAACUUUACUUCUGGUCUAGCUCCCCAGAUCUUUACGACUUCACUCGCCACUCUGCUGAUGCGGAUUCUCGCCGAACCUAUAUCUACUUACUUAGAGCCCUGAACGAAACUCGUAUUCCACUCUAGCACCCCAAUCCUAUAUAGUGGACUUUUUGCUAACAACACUCUACCCCGAAACUAUCAAGUCAGAAUUUCUCAUAUAUAUCGAAAGUCAGAUUUGUUUGAAUUUAAGAGUCAAAGAGAAUGACCUAUUCCUCCAUCUAUGAAUUCACUAUUCUUCGCUAUUCGACAAAAACUAUACGCUAUUCCACUAUAUAUUACUUACCUAUUAUCUUCUUAUCAUCUUUCUUCUGUUUCUGAACAAGCAACUCGAGACUCGCUAACGGGAGUUUUCAGUGUUGCACUAACGACUAAGACAAGUAUUAAGUAAAAGGAGCGGGCUGGCUGUCAACCCAGAUUGAUAGUAAUAACACCUCUGUUCUACUCUGCUAACAUGAGCUCGAUAUGAGGAAGAAGACUAUUAUCAGCACUUAUGCUUUAGCCUUAUUAUAUAGAUUAUCAGCACUUAUGCUUUAGCCUUUAUUAUAUAGAAUAUACUCCAUUCCAACAGAUACAGAUGACACUCGGGAUUCAAGCACAACAGAGGAAUCUUCCCGUAUAGAGGAAUCUUACCUUAAUAUCUAUGCAAAGCUUCUUAUCUUGUCGACUUCCCACUUUCAGACUACAACCUUUCAUUGCUACACACAUGGGCUAGGAUAUAAUUCCCUUAAUAAGAAGAUAAAUGAGUAGAAGCAGCAGCACUUAACCGAGAUAUUACACUCGCACUGCAUCCCUUUCUUCUUCCCCAAGAACUCCACUUUCAUUGAUAACCUAUCCCAGGAAUUAGCCUUAGGGUGAUGGGACAUUCCCGAUCUUAACUCAAGAGAGUAACCGAACCCUGUAAAGUAAGCAAGAGAUUACAACUCUCCAGUUGAAGUUCACCGCCUACUAGGCUUAAUGAAUAAAGUAAUAGAGUCGCUUAAGGAAUAAAGUAAUAGAGUGGAGGCGGGUCAUAUUCCUACCUUAGAGAGAGUGGAGGGUUAACAAACAACGUAACCCGCAAGGGGACCCUUUAAGGAGGAAGCCCAAGAAAGGGAAGCCAAGCCGGUAAGGUCAGAUUACUAAGAUAUAUUCCUUCCAAUCAUGGGUUAUAUACUGGGCUAGGCGAGAAAGUCCAAUUUCCAUUCUCAGGCGUCAAUUCCAUUUCUUUCUGUGCGCAAGGGAGUUGUUUUGACUUUAAUCGGGCGGGAGUUUAGAGCUUAUUGAUUCCAUUCCUUUGCUACGAGAUAGGCGGGUGAGAAAGAGGAACAGUUUGACUCUUCAAGUGGUAUUCUACUUUCAUCGUUAAGAUCAUCUCCAUCUCUGCCCCUACAUUAUACUAAGAACGAAUGCCCACUCCGUCAGUGAAGUCAGCAGUAAGUGAAUCAGUAUCUACUCUAUGAGUGCUUGUUUAGUCUCCGAGAGAAUAAUCUGUUCAAGUUAGCAGUGCGGGUGCAGUUCCCGAAACCAGUCGGCGAAUAUCGAAUUUAGAAGUAGCGCAUAACACUUAGAGAAUCCAGUUGCAACACAGCAACAAGCAAUGGCGACGAAAGUGAAACGACGUAUAAGAGGUAUACUUAGGUCUCUGUAAGGGAGUUCGUAUAGUCCUUCCUCUCCUCGAUAUCUUCUAGCUUCAUACUUCAUACUUAUCUCUUAUCUUAGUGGUGCGAGUGUUGUCGUUUCGUACAGUUUUCCAGUUUGGUGGGUGCUUUUGUUGCGGUAAGUGAAUGGCCUGAUUGAUUUCCCUGUAAGGAGAAGCCUUUGCUUUGCUUGUUCAAAGCCACUCUCUAGGAAAACCUAUGGUGGUGCCACAGUGGGGCGAGUAGGACCAGUAAAGUAAUGAAAGAAUAGACAGAAUAUCCACGACACCUAAAGCGCUACACCAGACUGCGAAACUAACUCAGUUACUGCUUCCUUUCAGAACAAAUAUUGGCACCCCGGUGAGAGUAACCCUUAGCACAAGGACUAAAUGAGAUCAUUGGCGACGAGAUCAGGAUCAUCAAUCAGCAUAAGAUGGAAAGUAGACUCAAAAAGAUGUUGUUUCAACAGAAGAAGCGGAAGCCAGAUCAAAGGAAAGAGUAGAAUUAGGAUCAGUUGCCGGGUACGCAGCAAAGGUCUCUGUUUCAUGAUCCACUUCUUCAGCGCCCUUCACUAACACUGACUUAGAUUUGGGGCACACCUGUAUGUAUAUAAACUAUAGAUAAGCGUCGGACCUACUACUGAUCCAGCUCUCAUACUUAUAGAUCAAGCCAUUGUGCUAAGGGAUAUUAUAUAGUACUUUUGUCUAGCGUUCAGAUGCCGAUAUUCAAUGGUUAUGGUUAGGGAAAGUCAACAGUGAGUCAGGAGAAGAGUAACCAUCAGCAGCAUCCGCAGAGUUAGCAUCCACAAAGAAAUGAAUGUUUGAGUUUGAAGAGCUGAAUCCAGAUAAGGUAAAGGAGAAAGAUAAGAGGCGAGAGGAUAUCUUGGUGUUGGCGAGAAAGAUAAGAGGCGAGAAGAUAUCUUGGUGUUGGCGAGUUAGUUGCUCGCUGCAGGAAUUAGGAAAAAGAAUGAGUUGGCGCUGGAUAUGAGCCAAUCGGUUCCUCAUAGUAAAGUAUAGAAGCAAGAUAUUGAGAGGAUGCCGCCCUUUAUAGUAGUGACUAGUUGGGGUUCCGUUGAGGAAGCUGGAAGUCUGGUUUUGGGGGGUGCUUCUUCAUCCCUUGUUUUAUCUGUCGGUGCUUGGCUAGUAGUUGUCUUGGCGCUUGGCCCCUAACAAAUACCUAAU
Molecule: long non-coding RNA, 30573 nt
Filed under: Musa acuminata (dwarf banana)
Lineage: Eukaryota; Viridiplantae; Streptophyta; Magnoliopsida; Zingiberales; Musaceae
Description: long non-coding RNA (MACU_LNC007446)
Source: RNAcentral